GAUGAACGCUGACAGAAUGCUUAACACAUGCAAGUCAACUUGAAUUUGGGUUUUUAACUUAGGUUUGGGUGGCGGACGGGUGAGUAACGCGUAAAGAACUUGCCUCACAGCUAGGGACAACAUUUGGAAACGAAUGCUAAUACCUAAUAUUAUGAUAAUAGGGCAUCCUAUAAUUAUGAAAGCUAUAAGCGCUGUGAGAGAGCUUUGCGUCCCAUUAGCUAGUUGGAGAGGUAACGGCUCACCAAGGCGAUGAUGGGUAGCCGGCCUGAGAGGGUGAUCGGCCACAAGGGGACUGAGACACGGCCCUUACUCCUUCGGGAGGCAGCAGUGGGGAAUAUUGGACAAUGGACCAAGAGUCUGAUCCAGCAAUUCUGUGUGCACGAUGAAGUUUUUCGGAAUGUAAAGUGCUUUCAGUUGGGAAGAAAGAAAUGACGGUACCAACAGAAGAAGUGACGGCUAAAUACGUG
Molecule: ribosomal RNA, 467 nt
Filed under: uncultured bacterium
Lineage: Bacteria
Description: partial 16S ribosomal RNA
Rfam family: Bacterial small subunit ribosomal RNA
Source: RNAcentral